GGUGAUUUAGUACUAUAGGUACUCUCUCUAGAAGUGGCCGUUAGAUAUUCAUCUGUCCACAGUUAGACAAACUGUCUAUAAAUGGAGGUGAUUUAGUACUAUAGGUACUCUCUCUAGAAGUGGCCGUUAGAUAUUCAUCUGUCCACAGUUAGACAAACUGUCUAUAAAUGGAGGUGAUUUAGUACUAUAGGUACUCUCUCUAGAAGUGGCCGUUAGAUAUUCAUCUGUCCACAGUUAGACAAACUGUCUAUAAAUGGAGGUGAUUUAGUACUAUAGGUACUCUCUCUAGAAGUGGCCGUUAGAUAUUCAUCUGUCCACAGUUAGACAAACUGUCUAUAAAUGGAGGUGAUUUAGUACUAUAGGUACUCUCUCCAGAAGUGGCCGUUAGAUAUUCAUCUGUCCACAGUUAGACAAACUGUCAAUAAAUGGAGGUGAUCUAGUACUAUAGGUACUCUCUCUA
Long non-coding RNA from Xyrauchen texanus (razorback sucker), 460 nucleotides. RefSeq lists it as uncharacterized. NCBI's taxonomy places the organism in Eukaryota, Metazoa, Chordata, Actinopteri, Cypriniformes, Catostomidae. The record is from RefSeq and is a predicted model, not a curated record. The transcript is spliced from 4 exons.